CCCCCGUCACAACGGCUUCCUGGCGUGAUGGGGAUUGUAUCAAUGGAGCA
Regulatory RNA element from Aliiroseovarius crassostreae, 50 nucleotides. It matches the Rfam family "SAM/SAH riboswitch aptamer". Lineage: Bacteria; Pseudomonadati; Pseudomonadota; Alphaproteobacteria; Rhodobacterales; Paracoccaceae. The record is from Rfam.